AAAGUCGUAACAAGGUCUCCGUUGGUGAACCAGCGGAGGGAUCAUUACAGAGUUAUCUAACUCACCAAAACCCCUGUGAACUUACCUAUGUUGCCUCGGCGGGGAAGCCUACUCGGUAGCCAGCUGCCCUGUAGGCCUACCCGUCGGCGGCCCAUUCAAACUCUGUUUUAUUUUGGCACUUCUGAAUUAUAUAAUAAAUUUGUUAAAACUUUCAACAACGGAUCUCUUGGUUCUG
This 235-nucleotide unclassified non-coding RNA is filed under the name Ascomycota sp. RNAcentral's name for it is "partial contains small subunit ribosomal RNA, internal transcribed spacer 1, and 5.8S ribosomal RNA". The stretch from base 1 to 47 matches the Rfam family "Eukaryotic small subunit ribosomal RNA", at positions 1785 to 1831 of the family's 1831-position model. Lineage: Eukaryota; Fungi; Ascomycota. The record is from RNAcentral.